RNAcentral lists this ribosomal RNA (440 nucleotides) under uncultured bacterium. Its description in RNAcentral is "partial 16S ribosomal RNA". It matches the Rfam family "Bacterial small subunit ribosomal RNA", at positions 338 to 795 of the family's 1533-position model. The record is from RNAcentral.
CCUACGGGGGGCAGCAGUAGGGAAUAUUGCUCAAUGGGGGAAACCCUGAAGCAGCAACGCCGCGUGGAGGAUGAAGGUUUUCGGAUUGUAAACUCCUUUUGUUAGAGAAGAUAAUGACGGUAUCUAACGAAUAAGCACCGGCUAACUCCGUGCCAGCAGCCGCGGUAAUACGGAGGGUGCAAGCGUUAUUCGGAAUUACUGGGGGUAAAGAGCGCGUAGGAGGGAUAGCAAGUCAGAUGUGAAAUCCUAGGGCUUAACCAUAGAACUGCAUUUGAAACUGUUAUUCUUGAGUAUGGGAGAGGUAGGUGGAAUUCUGGGUGUAGCGGUGAAAUCCGUAGAGAUCAAGAGGAAUACUCAUUGCGAAGGCGACCUGCUAGAACAUAACUGACGCUGAUGCGCGAAAGCGUGGGGAGCAAACAGGAUUAGAUACCCCUGUAGUC